RNAcentral lists this ribosomal RNA (244 nucleotides) under uncultured bacterium. RNAcentral's name for it is "partial 16S ribosomal RNA". It matches the Rfam family "Bacterial small subunit ribosomal RNA", at positions 90 to 334 of the family's 1533-position model. The record is from RNAcentral.
UGCCGAUGGCGAACGGGUGAGGAACGCGUGGACAACCUACCCCGGCGUGGGGGAUACCCGCCAGAAAUGGCGGCUAAUACCGCGUACGGUUCUCCGGCGAAGGGCUGGGGAAAGAAAGCAGUAAUGCGCGCUGGGAGGGGUCUGCGGCCGAUUAGCUAGUUGGUGGGGUAAGAGCCUACCAAGGCGUCGAUCGGUAGCUGGUCUGAGAGGACGAUCAGCCACACUGGGAUUGGGAACGGCCCAG